Molecule: ribosomal RNA, 501 nt
Filed under: uncultured bacterium
Lineage: Bacteria
Description: partial 16S ribosomal RNA
Rfam family: Bacterial small subunit ribosomal RNA
Source: RNAcentral
AUUGAACGCUGGCGGCAGGCUUAACACAUGCAAGUCGAGCGGGGGAAGGUAGCUUGCUACCGGACCUAGCGGCGGACGGGUGAGUAAUGCUUAGGAAUCUGCCUAUUAGUGGGGGACAACAUCUCGAAAGGGAUGCUAAUACCGCAUACGUCCUACGGGAGAAAGCAGGGGAUCUUCGGACCUUGCGCUAAUAGAUGAGCCUAAGUCGGAUUAGCUAGUUGGUGGGGUAAAGGCCUACCAAGGCGACGAUCUGUAGCGGGUCCGAGAGGAUGAUCCGCCACACUGGGACUGAGACACGGCCCAGACUCCUACGGGAGGCAGCAGUGGGGAAUAUUGGACAAUGGGGGGAACCCUGAUCCAGCCAUGCCGCGUGUGUGAAGGAGGCCUUAUGGUUGUAAAGCACUUUAAGCGAGGAGGAGGCUACUCUAGUUAAUACCUAGGGAUAGUGGACGUUACUCGCAGAAUAAGCACCGGCUAACUCUGUGCCAGCCGCCGCGGUAA